This 421-nucleotide ribosomal RNA is filed under the name uncultured bacterium. RNAcentral describes it as "bacterial SSU rRNA". It matches the Rfam family "Bacterial small subunit ribosomal RNA", at positions 355 to 773 of the family's 1533-position model. The record is from RNAcentral.
UGAGGAAUAUUGGACAAUGGGCGCAAGCCUGAUCCAGCCAUGCCGCGUGCAGGAAGAAGCAUCUAUGGUGUGUAAACUGCUUUUGUACGGGAAGAAACACUCCUUCGUGAAGGAGCUUGACGGUACCGUAAGAAUAAGGAUCGGCUAACUCCGUGCCAGCAGCCGCGGUAAUACGGAGGAUCCAAGCGUUAUCCGGAAUCAUUGGGUUUAAAGGGUCCGUAGGCGGUUUAGUAAGUCAGUGGUGAAAGCCCAUCGCUCAACGAUGGAACGGCCAUUGAUACUGCUAGACUUGAAUUAUUAGGAAGUAAUUAGAAUAUGUAGUGUAGCGGGGAAAUGCUAAGAUAUUACAUGGAAUACAAAGUGCGAAGGCAGGUUACUACUAAUGGAUUGACGCUGAUCGCCGAAAGCGGGGGGAGCGAAC